GGGGUUGUAGUUUAAUAAAUUAAAACAUUUAAUUUGCAAUUAAAAGAUAUUAUUUUUCUUCCUCA
RNAcentral lists this transfer RNA (65 nucleotides) under Chalcopis glandulosa. RNAcentral describes it as "tRNA-Ala". It matches the Rfam family "tRNA". Rfam says of the family: Transfer RNA (tRNA) molecules are approximately 80 nucleotides in length. The record is from RNAcentral. Lineage: Eukaryota; Metazoa; Arthropoda; Insecta; Hemiptera; Pentatomidae.